Dioscorea cayenensis subsp. rotundata (Guinea yam) is the source of this 107-nucleotide small nucleolar RNA. The record is from RefSeq and is a predicted model, not a curated record. Lineage: Eukaryota; Viridiplantae; Streptophyta; Magnoliopsida; Dioscoreales; Dioscoreaceae.
AGGUUGUGAUGUGGGCAUUUCCUUAACAAGUUUUUGAAUCACUCCCACACCUGAAAUUGUGAUUCAAUGUUCAACUGUGUAUAAGUUGUAAUCUCCUAACACAACUU